ACAAACAAAAAAUUUGGACCAUCAACAUCUUGGAGCUCAACCUGCUGAGUACCCAAGAGUUCCAGCCUAGAGCAAAGAAGAGGUUGGAGGGAAUAACAGCAGAGGAUCCCAAGACUGACGCUCUCUGAGAGAUUGCCUUUUGACAUCUUCAUCUGCAAAAGGAUCCUGCCGCCAGGACUCCGUCUGUGGAGUCAAUUCAACGUCUCUUCUGUCCUCAAGACCCCUUCACUGGUCUCUGGGACCUGGCGCUGCUGGGGGCAGAGAGCAGCUCAGGAAGAAUGUGCUCCACAGCUGGAAGCAAGGUUAGGAGAAAAAUGGUCUUUCUCUUUGUGUACGUGAGACUGUGAUAGGGAGCCAGGUGCCGAUAAAAUGGUGGAGACGGUCGUAAUUUGCAAAGU
Molecule: long non-coding RNA, 398 nt
Filed under: Ictidomys tridecemlineatus (thirteen-lined ground squirrel)
Lineage: Eukaryota; Metazoa; Chordata; Mammalia; Rodentia; Sciuridae
Description: lncRNA (ENSSTOG00000033456.1)
Source: RNAcentral